Molecule: RNase P RNA, 440 nt
Filed under: Bacteroidales bacterium
Lineage: Bacteria; Pseudomonadati; Bacteroidota; Bacteroidia; Bacteroidales
Description: RNase P RNA component class A
Rfam family: Bacterial RNase P class A
About the family: Ribonuclease P (RNase P) is a ubiquitous endoribonuclease, found in archaea, bacteria and eukarya as well as chloroplasts and mitochondria. Its best characterised activity is the generation of mature 5'-ends of tRNAs by cleaving the 5'-leader elements of precursor-tRNAs. Cellular RNase Ps are ribonucleoproteins.
Source: RNAcentral
ACAACAGUUCGUUCUGUCGCUGGUAAAGACACCACUUGUGAUGUCUUCCGGAGGAAAGUCAGGACAACACAGGGCGCCAUGCUUCCUAACGGGAAGGAUCCCGGGAUAAAAAGGCCCGGGAUACAGAUAGUGCCACAGAAAAUAACUACCAGGGGUUGAGAUGCACAUCAGUGCGUCUCAGCAACCUGUGGUAAAGACGCACUGCGGUGCGUCUCCACAGGAGUCCCCCGGGAAAAGGUGAAAACGCGGUGUAAGAGACCACGGUCCCGGUGGGCAACCAUCGGGAGGGGUAAACCUCAUGGGUUGAAAGACCAAGUAUACCGGCUGAUAAGGGUUGCCCGCCCGAUGCCGGAGGGUAGGUCGCUAAAGCCUUCCGGUGACGGCAGGCUCAGAUAAAUGACAGAAUUAAACAAAAUCCUGCUUACAGAACUGUUGUCUUU